This 2958-nucleotide long non-coding RNA is filed under the name Sus scrofa (pig). Its description in RNAcentral is "lncRNA (ENSSSCG00060014211.1)". Lineage: Eukaryota; Metazoa; Chordata; Mammalia; Artiodactyla; Suidae. The record is from RNAcentral.
UGGCUCAGUGGAUUAAGGAUCUGACUAGUAUCCGUGAGGAUGUGAGUUCAACCCCUGGCCUCCCUCAGGGGGUUAAAGAUCUGGCAUUGCUGCGAGCUGUGAUGUAGGUUGCAGAUGCAGCUCACAUCCUGCGUUGCUGUGGCUGUGGUGCAGGAGGGCAGCUCCAGCUUCAGUUCAACCCCUAGCCUGGGAACUUCCAUGUGCCUUCUCAGGUGUGGCCCUAAAAAGACAAAAAAAAAAAAAAGCCCCAAAAAGGCGGAGAUCCUGAGAGAGGAGGGUACCCAGGGAUGUUGACUCCCAGCCAGGUGGUUGCUCUGUGGCGGGGUUACAUGCCCUGCCUCCCUCUGCCCUGCUUCUCGACCUCCCUGCACUGCAGCCUCUGUACCAACAUCAGUAGCCCCGAACUCCGGGGGUGGAUCCCAGCAGAGUCAGCCCCCCAUGCCUGGAGGCCUGGAUUUUCUCAGGUGGUUUAGGGGAGACUUCCCUUCGCUAGGUAGGGUGGGGCUAGGUCGGGCCUGAAGGAGUGGCUGAAAGAGCCAGAGAGGGCAAGGGGCUUGAAGCAGGCUGGGCAAUUUCCGAUAUGUUUACCCAAUGUUUAGGCUGAGUCUCAAUUUAUUUACAUUGAACAUUUCGGUAACCAUCUGCUCUUAAACUAAACGGAAAAUUAUCUUUCUCCUACUGUGAUGGCAGCUCCCUUGGAUGUUUUUAAUAAAAAAAAAAUCUAUCAUUUUAACGCAGACAGCUCAGCUAAUAAAAAUGAUCUGUGUCAUUAGUAAUUAUCCCACAAAUACAGUGCAAAGUAGCAGACAGGCCUGCAGGGCCGCCCCCCCACCCCCCGAAAGAUUGGUUCCUUCCUAGGCCUGGGGCCCUGGGCAAGGUGGAGUGACCCAGCACCUGUGGGAGAACAGGUGCAUGUCAGGAGGAAGGACCCCUGGAAUUCAUCCAAAGACCAGUACCAGGCAGACCGACAGAGCAUCUGGGCAGGCUUACAGCCUGGAUCUGCAGAUUGUUAGAGCAGGAAGGGGCAACAGACGAGCUCUCUCCCAUUGGGGGCUUAUUGGCAUUAAUGUUAAUUUCUGGCCUUUCCCCAGCUUCUUUCAUGUAACCCUGUAAACCGGAAACCAGUGACCACAUGACCAAGUGGUUAUGCAGGAAAAGCGGCUGGAGGGUUUCAACCAGAGGUUGUCACCUUAGGUGACUUUGGAGACCAGACCUGAAACAUCAAUGUCUGGAGCUUCAUAGGUGUGGAAAAACCGAACUGUAACUGGGGUCUUUGGUAAACUGGAAGAUGCACUUCUCACUGAAACAUGUUGAAUAAAAAAGCAAAUUUAAACACAGACUGGGCAAAAUAAAUAUGUUGCCGGGUGGGUUUGGCUGUGAGCGAUUGGUUUGAAAACCUGAUCUAACUCUUGGAUUCAACCUUUGCCCUCCCCCUCCCGCAUACAAUGCUGAGCUUUGGUAGCCAGGGGAGGACUGUGUGGGUUCCACCUUCUCCCAGGCAGCAUAUAUACAGAAGCAGGUGCUGGGACUUCCCUCCCACAGACUGGGAGGGCCCACACCUCUGGAUUCCAGCUGUGAGCUGAGAAGCAGAUGGAGUUAGAACAGGGGGACAGAUGAUGAACGAUCUCAGAAACAGAGCCUGAGGCUUCCCAAAUCCUGAGCCUUUCAAGGCAAUUAGAUCUUGAAGGUGGGUAGGUGGUAGAAUUGAGGAAAGGUGGAAUGGGAUGUCUGGUAGUUUCAAGUUCAAGUUAGGGCAGAGGCCCCAGUCUCCUGUGACUGAAUGGGUUAGUUAAAAGUCAUUCAGGGUGUUCCUGUGAACCCCAAAGAAUAUCCAUGAGGAUGUGGGUUCGAUCCCUGGCCUUGCUCAGUGGGUUAGGGAUCCUGCGUUGCCGUGAGCUGUGGUGUAGGUCGCACACUCGGUGUGGAUCUGCAUUGCUGUGGCUGUGGCAUAGGCUGGCAGCUCCAGCUCCACGUCGACCCCUAGGCAGGGAACUUCCAUAUGCCACAGGUGAAGUCCUGAAAAGCCAAAAACAAAACAAAGCAAAAAACAAAGGCAAAACUCAUUCAGUCGCAAGGGCAGAAACCCAACUGGCUUAAAGGAAAAAAGGUAUAUUUUGGCUGCGAAACAAAGAAAUCCAGAAAUCUUAUUUUUGCCCAUCUCCUGGCUCAACCUUCCUCUAUGAGGGUUUCUUUCCCAGAUGACACUUGCCUCUUGGGGACAAGCUGGCUGCCAGCAGCAAUAGGCAUAAACCUACUCCUCUCAGUUGCCUUAGCAGAAGGAGCAAGACCCUUAGGAAAAGUUAGCCCCACCCAGAUCAGAGGGACUGAACGCUGGGGAGGAACCAUUCAGAGAAGCGGUGCAAGGGAAUGGAGGCUGGGAGGACUUCCUCCCACAGAGAAGGAGAAGGAAAGAAGAGACUAGAGCUGCACUGGGUGCCUCGUGUAUGUCAGAGCGUCUGCGCACUGCACAUCAUACAUUAUCUCAACCCCACCAUGUAAAUGUCCUACAGCCACGUUACAGAUGGGGAAACUGGAGCCCCGAGGAGUUUGCCAAUCGUGUGAGAUUGCCCAGCUGGUGGAGAAAAGGCCCUGCUUUGUAGACGGCAUUGAACAGAAGGGCCGCUAUGCACGGUGCUGCGUCUCUCUGCCCUCACUUGGAUCCUGCGGACUCCUCAUGGCCAUUAUCCAUUUUCCUAUUUGGGUCUGUGCCCUUUCUUUAUUGACGAGCAGGAUAGAAAACACAGUGGUAGGGGCUCUGCCACGAGAAGGGCAUGUGACUGAACAUCUGCCUUCGCCAUCUGACUCUGAGCUCCCAGCAGGACAGGGAUUAUGUCUGGUUCACCUUUGGGUCCUCGGGUUCUAUCUCCGCUUUGGGUUGGAGGGGCGAUGGAGGGGUCAGGAGAUCUGAAUUCCAGGCUCCAACCUGCAACCCACCAACUAACAUUUUUAGCCUCCUCG